GAACGCGAUGCGAUUGGCUGUCGGCUCAACCAAUGGUGUGGCGGGACGCGGGACCGGUCCCCGGUUCCUGGUCCCAAGGCCUGGUCCAGGCGUCAUGGAGCCCUCUCUGUACACCGUAAAAGCCAUCAUAAUCCUGGACAAUGAUGGGGAACGACUCUAUGCGAAGUACUAUGAUGACACAUACCCAUCGGUGAAGGAGCAGAAGACAUUUGAGAAAAACAUUUUCAACAAAACACACCGCACUGACAGCGAGAUUGCGCUGCUCGAAGGCCUAACCGUCGUCUACAAGAGCAGCGUCGACCUCUACUUCUACGUCAUCGGGAGCCCCCAGGAGAACGAGCUGAUGCUCAUGACUGUCCUCAGUUGCUUGGUGGAGUCUCUGGGACAGAUGUUCAGGAAAAAUGUCGAGAAGCGAGCCCUGAUGGAAAACAUGGAUGCUGUUUUCUUGGCGGUGGAUGAAAUCGUUGAUGGCGGAGUGGUUCUGGAGAGUGACCCCCUUCAGGUCAUGCAGAGGGUGUCUCUCAGGCUGGAUGUCUCUGAAGGGCCGUAUGGCUUUGUUCUCUUAGAUCUGCUGGCCAGCAAGAUCAAUACUGAGCCAUCGAGCUGACGCGUACUGUGUCUCCGAGCCCAUCCCCUUGUCCCCGCGUGCUGCAGUCGGAUGACAUCCCACUGACGGAACAGACGGUCGCACAGGUUCUCUAUUCAGCCAAAGAACAGCUCAAGUGGUCCCUUCUCAAGUGAUGAUGGCCCAAGCAGAAGACGCGAAUCUCCCUAAGCUCCCUGCACUCAUCUGGCACCUCCCUCCAUCUUCUGUACACUCACUCACUCUCACUUACUCAUUCUGUGACCGGCAGUGUGAGUUCCCAGACACAAACUCGCAAAAAACAAAACUAUAAUAUCUGGACUCAUUUCCCACGCGCAGGAAAGCUUGCAUCGUGGAGCUGAGUGGCGGGGAGGAAACGUGGAGCUGACACACCAUUAAAGUCAGCGCGAGAAUUUAGAGCUCAUGCAUAAAAAUCAAAGAAAUUAUUUUAUCACAAAUUCUUUUUUUUAAUCUCACUUGUGUUUUUACUGGAAUCAAGUCACCAGGUUAGGCGGUGUCCUUUUUCUGCAGCCUGAAGAUUACCAUUUCUCAUUGCGGAGUACCAUCGCAUGUUAUCAAGGCAGGGUACGGCACUGGAAUGACUCACUGAACUACUUGUUAUCACUAAAAUGAGCCACUCACCCACAAAGAAAUGGUGCUCAUUCAUGCCAUCCAAAGUAGUCUACCACGUGGAAUUCAAUAUAUUUUGUUAGUAUUCAACUUAGUUAAGCCAAAUGAAACAAUGUUUUUUUUCCUGAAAAUAUUUUUUUCCCCCUCCCAAUUCUGAUUCUGCUGUCGAUGUGAAAAGAAGAAUCCAUUUGGAAUGCUGGAUUUGCAGUGUGGUCAUCUCGUGAUGGAGAACGGUCCACAGAAGGAGAUAUCAUAGGGCUACUUCUAAAAUCUCGUAAAGUGGCCUAUUUUCCACACUCGGGGGCAACACUUGCCUACCACUCUGCUUUACAGCGGAAUGCUCUGUGUGGCAAACUGAUAUUUGCAAUUUUCAGAACUGGAAUUUAGCCAGAUUAAGUAAGACACCAAAGUGUAACACUUUUCGGGCAGUAAUUUGUGAUUGGACUGAGAUCAUGAACUCUUUACUUGAGAACCUGGUUUUUCCAUGGACAGCUGUUCUGAUUCAAACUCCCGAAUCUCAGCUGUGAUGCCUCAACGCUCUAACUUCUGAGCUACCCGGUCACAUUGAAAAAUAAAAUGUAAUCGGAGUUUUUUUCUGCGCAACCUUUGAUUAUCAGGCUAAUACUGUUUGCACCUUACACUUGAGAAUCUCGGUUCAUCACAGGUGGCAGAAACCUGGGUUUGACCCCAUAAAAUCGAUGGUACUGGCUCAGUGACUUGAUAGCCAUUGAGAUUUUUGAACCAGCGUUUCAGAUGGAAGAACCGAGGGUAUGGCGCUAUCCAGAUCACAUGACAGUACACGCUGUCUCCUCUCAACGGACACCCCCUGCCGCAACAGCCAUGUGCGUCUCUCUGUACAUGGUUUAUUUUCCAGCACGUGUUGAUAUUUUCACAUUUUUAGAGUGCCCGAGUGUGAAACUACCCUAUGUGGUGGACCUCGAUGGUUUCUUGGCAAAUGUAAAAUAACGCGGUGCGUGCGAUGUCAAAAUGUAGUAUCGAUGGUGGUGAUAUCGAUGACGGUUGCCGGAGUGGCUUUCUCCAGUGUUGUGAAAAUAAAACAAACAUUGAUAUGUUGUUGUUUUUUGGAGAAUUUA
RNA transcript from Lethenteron reissneri (Far Eastern brook lamprey), 2307 nucleotides. It is a transcript of the gene named coatomer subunit zeta-1-like, with no coding region annotated. The record is from RefSeq and is a predicted model, not a curated record. NCBI's taxonomy places the organism in Eukaryota, Metazoa, Chordata, Hyperoartia, Petromyzontiformes, Petromyzontidae.